This 447-nucleotide ribosomal RNA is filed under the name uncultured bacterium. Its description in RNAcentral is "SSU rRNA". It matches the Rfam family "Bacterial small subunit ribosomal RNA", at positions 26 to 517 of the family's 1533-position model. The record is from RNAcentral.
AGGACGAACGCUGGCGGUGUGCUUCACACAUGCAAGUCGAACGAGGUAGCAAUACCUAGUGGCGGACGGGUGAGUAACGCGUGGGAAUCUGCCUUUAGAUGGGGGAUAACGGGCCGAAAGGUCCGCUAAUACCGCAUAGGCCGCAAGGUUAAAGGAGUAAUCCGUCUAAAGAUGAGCCCGCGUCCGAUUAGCUAGUUGGUAGGGUAAAAGCCUACCAAGGCGACGAUCGGUAGCUGGUCUGAGAGGAUGAUCAGCCACAAUGGGACUGAGACACGGCCCAAACUCCUACGGGAGGCAGCAGUGGGGAAUAUUGGACAAUGGGCGCAAGCCUGAUCCAGCCAUGCCGCGUGAGUGAUGAAGGCCUUAGGGUUGUAAAGCUCUUUCGCACGCGACGAUAAAUGACGGUAGCGUGAGAAGAAGCCCCGGCUAACUUCGUGCCAGCAGCCG